This 253-nucleotide ribosomal RNA is filed under the name uncultured bacterium. Its description in RNAcentral is "partial 16S ribosomal RNA". It matches the Rfam family "Bacterial small subunit ribosomal RNA", at positions 524 to 776 of the family's 1533-position model. The record is from RNAcentral.
UACGUAGGGUGCGAGCGUUAAUCGGAAUUACUGGGCGUAAAGCGUGCGCAGGCGGUUUUGUAAGCCAGAUGUGAAAUCCCCGGGCUUAACCUGGGAAUGGCAUUUGGGACUGCAAGGCUGGAGUGUGGCAGAGGAGACUGGAAUUCCUGGUGUAGCAGUGAAAUGCGUAGAUAUCAGGAGGAACACCUGUGGUGUAGACGGCUUACUGGACCAUGACUGACGCUGAGGCACGAAAGCGUGGGGAGCAAACAGG